UCGCACUCACGCUUCCGCCACAACCGC
This 27-nucleotide unclassified non-coding RNA is filed under the name Mus musculus (house mouse). Its description in RNAcentral is "oocyte_clustered_small_RNA10049". Lineage: Eukaryota; Metazoa; Chordata; Mammalia; Rodentia; Muridae. The record is from RNAcentral.